This 253-nucleotide ribosomal RNA is filed under the name uncultured bacterium. RNAcentral's name for it is "partial 16S ribosomal RNA". It matches the Rfam family "Bacterial small subunit ribosomal RNA", at positions 524 to 776 of the family's 1533-position model. The record is from RNAcentral.
GACAGAGGUCCCGAGCGUUAGGCGGAAUCACUGGGCUUAAAGCGUGUGUAGGCGGAUCGUUAAGUACCUUGUGAAAUCCCACGGCUUAACCGUGGAACUGCUUGGUAUACUGGCGAUCUUGAGCCACUUAGGGGCUACCGGAACAAAUGGUGGAGCGGUGAAAUGCGUAGAUAUCGGGAGGAACACCAGUGGCGAAGGCGGCUACCUGGACCAGCACUGACACUGAGGCACGAAAGCGUGGGGAGCGAACGGG